This is a non-coding RNA of Triticum aestivum (bread wheat), 56 nucleotides long. Lineage: Eukaryota; Viridiplantae; Streptophyta; Magnoliopsida; Poales; Poaceae. The record is from Rfam.
GCUCAGUUGGUAAAGCACAAGGCUCUUAACCUUGUCGACGUGGAUUCAAGCCCCAU